RNAcentral lists this ribosomal RNA (385 nucleotides) under uncultured bacterium. Its description in RNAcentral is "partial 16S ribosomal RNA". It matches the Rfam family "Bacterial small subunit ribosomal RNA", at positions 338 to 734 of the family's 1533-position model. The record is from RNAcentral.
CCUACGGGGGGCUGCAGUCGAGAAUCAUUCACAAUGGUGGAAACCCUGAUGGUGCGACGCCGCGUGGGGGAAUGAAGGUCUUCGGAUUGUAAACCCCUGUCAUGUGGGAGCAAAUUAUAAAGAUAGUACCACAAUAGGAAGAGACGGCUAACUCGGUGCCAGCAGCCGCGGUAAUACAGAGGUCUCAAGCGUUGUUCGGGAUCACUGGGCUUAAAGCGUGCGUAUGCUGUUGCGUAAGUCGUGUGUGAAAGGCGCGGGCUCAACCCGCGGACGGCACAUGAUACUGCGAGACUAGAGUAAUGGAGGGGGAAGCGGAAUUCGCGGUGUAGCAGUGAAAUGCGUAGAUAUCGAGAGGAACACUCGUGGCGAAGGCGGGUUCCUGGAC